Molecule: ribosomal RNA, 1000 nt
Filed under: Microbacterium sp. HBUM178267
Lineage: Bacteria; Bacillati; Actinomycetota; Actinomycetes; Micrococcales; Microbacteriaceae
Description: bacterial SSU rRNA
Rfam family: Bacterial small subunit ribosomal RNA
Source: RNAcentral
CUUGCCGGGCUUGCUUACACAUGCGAGUCGAGCGGUGAAGCAGAGCUUGCUCUGUGGAUCAGUGGCGAACGGGUGAGUAACACGUGAGCAACCUGCCCCUGACUCUGGGAUAAGCGCUGGAAACGGCGUCUAAUACUGGAUAUGAGCUGCGAUCGCAUGGUCAGCAGUUGGAAAGAUUUUUCGGUCUGGGAUGGGCUCACGGCCUAUCAGCUUGUUGGUGAGGUAAUGGCUCACCAAGGCGUCGACGGGUAGCCGGCCUGAGAGGGUGACCGGCCACACUGGGACUGAGACACGGCCCAGACUCCUACGGGAGGCAGCAGUGGGGAAUAUUGCACAAUGGGCGAAAGCCUGAUGCAGCAACGCCGCGUGAGGGAUGACGGCCUUCGGGUUGUAAACCUCUUUUAGCAGGGAAGAAGCGAAAGUGACGGUACCUGCAGAAAAAGCGCCGGCUAACUACGUGCCAGCAGCCGCGGUAAUACGUAGGGCGCAAGCGUUAUCCGGAAUUAUUGGGCGUAAAGAGCUCGUAGGCGGUUUGUCGCGUCUGCUGUGAAAUCCCGAGGCUCAACCUCGGGUCUGCAGUGGGUACGGGCAGACUAGAGUGCGGUAGGGGAGAUUGGAAUUCCUGGUGUAGCGGUGGAAUGCGCAGAUAUCAGGAGGAACACCGAUGGCGAAGGCAGAUCUCUGGGCCGUUACUGACGCUGAGGAGCGAAAGGGUGGGGAGCAAACAGGCUUAGAUACCCUGGUAGUCCACCCCGUAAACGUUGGGAACUAGUUGUGGGGUCCAUUCCACGGAUUCCGUGACGCAGCUAACGCAUUAAGUUCCCCGCCUGGGGAGUACGGCCGCAAGGCUAAAACUCAAAGGAAUUGACGGGGACCCGCACAAGCGGCGGAGCAUGCGGAUUAAUUCGAUGCAACGCGAAGAACCUUACCAAGGCUUGACAUAUACGAGAACGGGCCAGAAAUGGUCAACUCUUUGGACACUCGUAAACAGGUGGUGCAU